UAGAGUUUGAUCCUGGCUCAGGAUGAACGCUGGCGGCGUGCUUAACACAUGCAAGUCGAACGAUGAAGCCCAGCUUGCUGGGUGGAUUAGUGGCGAACGGGUGAGUAACACGUGAGCAACCUGCCCCUGACUCUGGGAUAAGCGCUGGAAACGGCGUCUAAUACUGGAUACGAACAAGAAUCGCAUGGUUACUUGUUGGAAAGAUUUUUCGGUUGGGGAUGGGCUCGCGGCCUAUCAGCUUGUUGGUGAGGUAAUGGCUCACCAAGGCGUCGACGGGUAGCCGGCCUGAGAGGGUGACCGGCCACACUGGGACUGAGACACGGCCCAGACUCCUACGGGAGGCAGCAGUGGGGAAUAUUGCACAAUGGGCGCAAGCCUGAUGCAGCAACGCCGCGUGAGGGAUGACGGCCUUCGGGUUGUAAACCUCUUUUAGCAGGGAAGAAGCGAGAGUGACGGUACCUGCAGAAAAAGCACCGGCUAACUACGUGCCAGCAGCCGCGGUAAUACGUAGGGUGCAAGCGUUAUCCGGAAUUAUUGGGCGUAAAGAGCUCGUAGGCGGUUUGUCGCGUCUGCUGUGAAAUCUGGGGGCUCAACCCCCAGCCUGCAGUGGGUACGGGCAGACUAGAGUGCGGUAGGGGAGAUUGGAAUUCCUGGUGUAGCGGUGGAAUGCGCAGAUAUCAGGAGGAACACCGAUGGCGAAGGCAGAUCUCUGGGCCGUAACUGACGCUGAGGAGCGAAAGGGUGGGGAGCAAACAGGCUUAGAUACCCUGGUAGUCCACCCCGUAAACGUUGGGAACUAGUUGUGGGGUCCAUUCCACGGAUUCCGUGACGCAGCUAACGCAUUAAGUUCCCCGCCUGGGGAGUACGGCCGCAAGGCUAAAACUCAAAGGAAUUGACGGGGACCCGCACAAGCGGCGGAGCAUGCGGAUUAAUUCGAUGCAACGCGAAGAACCUUACCAAGGCUUGACAUAUACGAGAACGGGCCAGAAAUGGUCAACUCUUUGGACACUCGUAAACAGGUGGUGCAUGGUUGUCGUCAGCUCGUGUCGUGAGAUGUUGGGUUAAGUCCCGCAACGAGCGCAACCCUCGUUCUAUGUUGCCAGCACGUAAUGGUGGGAACUCAUGGGAUACUGCCGGGGUCAACUCGGAGGAAGGUGGGGAUGACGUCAAAUCAUCAUGCCCCUUAUGUCUUGGGCUUCACGCAUGCUACAAUGGCCGGUACAAUGGGCUGCAAUACCGUGAGGUGGAGCGAAUCCCAAAAAGCCGGUCCCAGUUCGGAUUGAGGUCUGCAACUCGACCUCAUGAAGUCGGAGUCGCUAGUAAUCGCAGAUCAGCAACGCUGCGGUGAAUACGUUCCCGGGUCUUGUACACACCGCCCGUCAAGUCAUGAAAGUCGGUAACACCUGAAGCCGGUGGCCUAACCCCUCGGGGAGGGAGCUGUCGAAGGUGGGAUCGGUAAUUAGGACUAAGUCGUAACAAGGUAACC
Molecule: ribosomal RNA, 1486 nt
Filed under: Microbacterium sp. EP10
Lineage: Bacteria; Bacillati; Actinomycetota; Actinomycetes; Micrococcales; Microbacteriaceae
Description: bacterial SSU rRNA
Rfam family: Bacterial small subunit ribosomal RNA
Source: RNAcentral